RNAcentral lists this ribosomal RNA (227 nucleotides) under uncultured bacterium. RNAcentral describes it as "partial 16S ribosomal RNA". It matches the Rfam family "Bacterial small subunit ribosomal RNA", at positions 568 to 795 of the family's 1533-position model. The record is from RNAcentral.
UGCGCAGGCGGGCUUGUAAGUCAGUGGUGAAAUACUGCCGCUCAACGGUAGAACUGCCAUUGAUACUGCAAGUCUUGAAUAUGGUUGAGGUAGGCGGAAUGUGUCGUGUAGCGGUGAAAUGCAUAGAUAUGACACAGAACGCCAAUUGCGAAGGCAGCUUACUAAGCCAUUAUUGACGCUGAGGCACGAAAGCGUGGGGAGCGAACAGGAUAGAUACCCUGGUAGUC